This 71-nucleotide transfer RNA is filed under the name Mycoplasmoides gallisepticum str. R(low). RNAcentral's name for it is "Mycoplasma gallisepticum str. R(low) tRNA". It matches the Rfam family "tRNA". From Rfam's summary of the family: Transfer RNA (tRNA) molecules are approximately 80 nucleotides in length. The record is from Rfam by way of RNAcentral. Lineage: Bacteria; Bacillati; Mycoplasmatota; Mycoplasmoidales; Mycoplasmoidaceae.
GCAGAUGUAGUUCAAUGGUAGAACGAGACCUUGCCGAGGUUUAGACGCGAGUUCGAUUCUCGUCAUCUGCU